AGAAGCCAAUUUGGACUUGGAGUUGAUUGCUGCAGAAGAAGAAGAACUAAAGAAAGAACAUGCUGAAGCAAUAAAGUCAGGAAAAAUCCAAAAGCCUGCAAAGUCAACUACCAAGCCAAAAGAAAAGGGAAUACUGAUCAAAGAAGCUACUGUUGCUGAUCAGAGUUUACCAGUCAAAAAGGUAUUCUCUGAAGAUGAAUAUACAACUAAAGGAAAAAGCAAAGUAGAUGAAAAUCUGGAGAAAGGCUGGGAUAAGAAGAAGUUUACAACCUCUGACACAGCUCAAGUUGUACAGGAAAAGAAAUCAGAAGCUGCAAUCUCUGACAAAGCUCAUGUUGCAGAAUC
Molecule: long non-coding RNA, 345 nt
Filed under: Daucus carota (carrot)
Lineage: Eukaryota; Viridiplantae; Streptophyta; Magnoliopsida; Apiales; Apiaceae
Description: long non-coding RNA (DCAR_LNC002060)
Source: RNAcentral